CCGUAGGUGAACNUGCGGAAGGAUCAUUG
This 29-nucleotide ribosomal RNA is filed under the name Coprosma divergens. RNAcentral describes it as "partial 18S ribosomal RNA". The record is from RNAcentral. Lineage: Eukaryota; Viridiplantae; Streptophyta; Magnoliopsida; Gentianales; Rubiaceae.